RNAcentral lists this ribosomal RNA (465 nucleotides) under uncultured bacterium. Its description in RNAcentral is "partial 16S ribosomal RNA". It matches the Rfam family "Bacterial small subunit ribosomal RNA", at positions 28 to 507 of the family's 1533-position model. The record is from RNAcentral.
GACGAACGCUGGCGGCGUGCUUAACACAUGCAAGUCGAACGGAAAGGCCCUGCUUGCAGGGUACUCGAGUGGCGAACGGGUGAGUAACACGUGGGUGAUCUGCCCUGCACUUCGGGAUAAGCCUGGGAAACUGGGACUAAUACCGGAUAGGAGCCAUUUUUAGUGUGAUGGUUGGAAAGUUUUUUCGGUGUAGGAUGAGCUCGCGGCCUAGCGGCUUGGUGGUGGGGUAAUGGCCUACCGAGGCGGCGACGGGUAGCCGGCCUGAGAGGGUGGACGGCCACGUUGCGGCUGCGGUCCGGCCCCGACUCCGACGGGUGGCGGCCGUGGGGAGUAUUGCUCAAUCGGCGCCGGCCUGAUGCAGCGGCGCCGCGUCGGGUAUUGCGGCCUUCGCGUUGUAGACGCCUUUCGCUCGGGUCUAUGCGUUUUGUGACGGUACCUAGAUAAGAAGCGCCGGCUAACUACGUG